CACAAAUUAAUGACCAUUUGGUUGGAGGCAGAAAGGGUAUUUUUGUGGUUAUAGUAGCUACGUGACUGAUUUCAUUUUCCUUUAUCUUGCAUUUCAGAAUUACUUACAGGUUUAAGUAGUUAUCCUUAAGCGGUUAACAGAGAGGUGUGUUGACGGGUUUCUUGUAAAAGAGUAAAGUUGAGUUGGACUGUUGCUACUUUCACAUGCGGUCGUGUGUACCGUGUUCAUAAGAGGAGAACAUAUGAAUAUCUCCUUCUUGGGAUAUAUUAUGAGCAAUUUUGUGAAAGCUCCGAAUUCGACGUGUUUAGUGACGUUUACGGAAGUGGCGGAGGCCGUGGAAGUUCAUUUUUCGUUGGAUGGUAAGUUAAUAUAUUGUAUAUAUGUAUUUUGUUUUGGGUUUUGCUUAUUUUAGAUUGUGUAAAGGAGGAAAGUCUUGGUAUUCCCCACCGCCUCAUCUUUCCCCCCUGUUAUUAUGCCUUUGCAUUCACUGCACUCUGUUACCCGCCUGCAAGCUAACUAAACUAUUAGCCUCUGUGGCUUCUGUUUGCAUCCGCGUUGCCUUUGCUUUCGCAGCGGUGCCAAGCAUACAGCGCACACGAUUCCCCUGUCGUUACCGCAGCUCACGAGUUCCGUUUAAAGGCAGCGUGUAUGUGUCAAAUUGUCUGUUAAAAGCAUGGCCUCUUUUCAACCAAUCAAACAAAUUUGAAUGUAUUCGGAAAACAAGUCUAUAGUAGGUAUUGGCCCAAAUAUAAAAUUAAACAACAAUUGUGCUCAAAGGUUGGAGGUGCGUUGCAUGUUGCAACAGUAGAUAAACACCGUGUAUGGAGUGUGUCUAUAACUAUAGGUCGUCUUUAGCUUUAAUGUUGCUAUAGGCUAUUGAGUUCCACGUGUCCCUUUCCCUAUGUGACUGAAAAACAGACUGAAGCCGGGAAAGCUUUUCACCAGCCUCAGCUAAAGAAGAAGCUGGCUGCACCUGAGAAUUCAACAUUAUCAGCUGAGCCCUGCUCUGCACCCUCAGGACCACAGACCACAAAGCAGUAACCACUAAUGCUGAACAGAUGUUCAUCAGCUGCAGAAAUGGGAUGAACUCUUCCCGCACGGUGGCUGGUUUCAUUUGGGCUUUAGCUGCAUUAAGGCGUCGCUGCAGUUUAUUCGCUUGCUGCGGUAUAAAAUUGCAUGAUAACAAGCAUUGUGUCAGAAGUUACCUGGAAGUGAGCAGAGGGAGCGCUGGGAGACCAAAACCUGCCACGUAGUCCGUCCUCUGUGA
Lates calcarifer (barramundi perch) is the source of this 1267-nucleotide long non-coding RNA. RefSeq lists it as uncharacterized. Lineage: Eukaryota; Metazoa; Chordata; Actinopteri; Centropomidae. The record is from RefSeq and is a predicted model, not a curated record. The transcript has 3 exons.